Molecule: long non-coding RNA, 1460 nt
Organism: Anser brachyrhynchus (Pink-footed goose)
Lineage: Eukaryota; Metazoa; Chordata; Aves; Anseriformes; Anatidae
Source: Ensembl
AUCAUGGGCAAGGAGAAAACAUUUUACCUAUUCACGCAAGCAAUGCUAUGACCCUGCUUACACUCCUUAAUCGUCUGGACAGGAAGCUUGGCUUCUGGUUCAACCACAUGCUCUUCAGGUCGACUUUGCCUGUAGCACUGAGUGUAUGGUUUUUAUGACUAGCGUCAAACUUGAAGCUUUCAAAGCCAUGUGUCAAAGCUCCCAGCGCGGUGCGGCCAGGGAGCCCUCCCGCAGCCAGCUGCGGCCCCCGGCCAGCCCCCCGCUGGCUUACGCGGACACCGAGCCCCUCGGGGAGCAGCCAGCAGAUUCCUCGCGUCCCGGUGUCAGGACCCGCGACCCCGCUGGGAAAGCCAGCUGUGGCAGCUCCUCGCCCUCAGGACGAGAGGGGGGCUCAUCGCCAUCUCUGUCCCCCCCUCCCCGGCCCCGCUCUUUUAUGAUGGGUUGUUUUCCUCCUGCGUGAACGCGAGGGCCGGCGGGGUGCUUCCAGAGUGCGCAUUUGUUCCCUUGCGGAGUUUGGCGACAACAAAACGAGCGUGUUUUGCCCCAUUAAUUAUGGAUAAUGGAAAAAGUGUAAGUAUCUACACGGUUAAAGCAGCGAGCGCGCCAUCGCUGACGGUGCCGCCAGGGCUGUGUCCGCGGGGUGCUCCGGGAAGGCAGACGCGCCCGGGUGUUCCCGGUGGGAUACUCUAUCCCACCAGGAGAGCUGUGUGCCAGGGAGACCUCAAAAUGUGUGUAUCCUAUAAACAGGGAGACCUAUAAAUGUGGGUAUCCUACAAAGGGGGAGAGCUGUGAAUGUAUGUAUCCUAGAAAGGGGGAGAGCUGUAGAGAUGUAUAUAUCCUAUAAAGGGGGAGAGACCAGUAAACAUGAACAUUAUGCAAAGGGGAAGACCUGUAAGUGUAUAUAUCCUACAAAGGGGGAAAGCUGUAAAGAUGUAUAUCCUACAAAGGGGGAGACCUGUUAGCAUAUAUAUCCUACGAAGGGGGAGACCAGUAAGGAUAUAUAUCCUACAAAGGGGGAGACCAGUAAAGAUGAAUAUUCUGCAAAGGGGGAGACCUGUAAGCGUAUAUGUCCUAUAAAGGGGGAGAGCUGUAAAGAUGUAUAUCCUACAGAGGGGGAGACCUGUAAGCAUAUAUAUCCUACAGAGGUGAAGAGACCAGUAAGGAUGUAUAUCCUAUAAAGGGGGAGAGGUGUAAAGACGUAUAUCCUACAAAGGGAAAGACCUGUAAGGAUAUAUAUCCUACAAAGGGGGAGAAGUGUAAAGAUGUGUAUCUUACAAAGGGGGAGAGGUGGUAAAGAUGUAUGUUCUCCAAAGGGGAGACCUGUAAGCGUUUAUAUCCUACAAAGGGGAGACCUGUAAAGAUACAGAUCCUACAAAGGGGUAGAGCUGUAAGCGUAUAUAUGCAGUGAAGGGGUAGACCCGUAAAGAUGUAUAUUCUACAAAGGGGUAGACUUGUAAGUG